RNAcentral lists this ribosomal RNA (486 nucleotides) under Escherichia sp. RNAcentral describes it as "bacterial SSU rRNA". It matches the Rfam family "Bacterial small subunit ribosomal RNA", at positions 271 to 750 of the family's 1533-position model. Lineage: Bacteria; Pseudomonadati; Pseudomonadota; Gammaproteobacteria; Enterobacterales; Enterobacteriaceae. The record is from RNAcentral.
AGGCGACGAUCCCUAGCUGGUCUGAGAGGAUGACCAGCCACACUGGAACUGAGACACGGUCCAGACUCCUACGGGAGGCAGCAGUGGGGAAUAUUGCACAAUGGGCGCAAGCCUGAUGCAGCCAUGCCGCGUGUAUGAAGAAGGCCUUCGGGUUGUAAAGUACUUUCAGCGGGGAGGAAGGGAGUAAAGUUAAUACCUUUGCUCAUUGACGUUACCCGCAGAAGAAGCACCGGCUAACUCCGUGCCAGCAGCCGCGGUAAUACGGAGGGUGCAAGCGUUAAUCGGAAUUACUGGGCGUAAAGCGCACGCAGGCGGUUUGUUAAGUCAGAUGUGAAAUCCCCGGGCUCAACCUGGGAACUGCAUCUGAUACUGGCAAGCUUGAGUCUCGUAGAGGGGGGUAGAAUUCCAGGUGUAGCGGUGAAAUGCGUAGAGAUCUGGAGGAAUACCCGGUGGCGAAGGCGGCCCCCUGACGAAGACUACGCUCAG